Molecule: ribosomal RNA, 400 nt
Filed under: uncultured bacterium
Lineage: Bacteria
Description: bacterial SSU rRNA
Rfam family: Bacterial small subunit ribosomal RNA
Source: RNAcentral
GAGGAAUAUUGCACAAUGGAGGAAACUCUGAUGCAGCAACGCCGCGUGGAGGAUGACGCAUUUCGGUGUGUAAACUCCUUUUAAGAGGGAAGAUUAUGACGGUACCUCUUGAAUAAGCACCGGCUAACUCCGUGCCAGCAGCCGCGGUAAUACGGAGGGUGCAAGCGUUACUCGGAAUCACUGGGCGUAAAGGGUGCGUAGGCUGACUUUUAAGUCAGGUGUGAAAUCCAAUGGCUUAACCAUUGAACUGCACUUGAAACUGGGAGUCUAGAGUUCAGAAGGGGCAGAUGGAAUUAGUGGUGUAGGGGUAAAAUCCGUAGAUAUCACUAGGAAUAUCAAAAGCGAAGGCGAUCUGCUGGGAUGAUACUGACGCUGAGGCACGAAAGCGUGGGGAGCAAAC